This 71-nucleotide transfer RNA is filed under the name Phalantus geniculatus. Its description in RNAcentral is "tRNA-Lys". It matches the Rfam family "tRNA". From Rfam's summary of the family: Transfer RNA (tRNA) molecules are approximately 80 nucleotides in length. Lineage: Eukaryota; Metazoa; Arthropoda; Insecta; Hemiptera; Reduviidae. The record is from RNAcentral.
CAUUAAGUGACUGAAAUGAAAGUAAUGGUCUCUUAAACCAAAAUAUGGUAAGUUACAUCUACCCUUAAUGA